AGGAUGAACGCUGGCGGCGUGCCUAACACAUGCAAGUCGAACGUCCUGUCUCGCAAGAGGCAGGGAGUGGCGGACGGGUGAGUACCACGUGGGUUAUCUACCGUGAGGUGAGGAAUACCGGCGAGAAAUCGCCGACAAGACCGCAUAGCCUCGGUGCAAGCCGAGGAAAGCUUUCUCGAGAGAGGGAGCGCCACACGAGGAGCCUGCGCCCGAUUAGCUAGCUGGUGGAGUAACGGUUCACCAGGGCGACGAUCGGUAGCUGGUCUGAGAGGACGAUCAGCCACACUGGGAUUGAGAACGGCCCAGACUCCUACGGGGGGCAGCAGUGAGGAAUUUUCGUCAAUGGGGGCAACCCUGAACGAGCAACGCCGCGUGCAGGAAGAAGGUUUCGGAUCGUAAACUGCUUUUCUCGGGAAGAGAACGGACGGUACCCGAGGAAUCGAGCCCCGGCUAACUACGUGCCAGCAGCCGC
RNAcentral lists this ribosomal RNA (472 nucleotides) under uncultured bacterium. RNAcentral describes it as "SSU rRNA". It matches the Rfam family "Bacterial small subunit ribosomal RNA", at positions 26 to 518 of the family's 1533-position model. The record is from RNAcentral.